GGCCGCAUCGGGCCGGGCAUGGGCCGGCACGCUCUCGCCGAGCAGGCUCUCGGCGUCGGAGAGACCGGCGGCUCCAGUCCCGCCGUGGCCGCC
Molecule: transfer RNA, 93 nt
Filed under: Methylobacterium haplocladii
Lineage: Bacteria; Pseudomonadati; Pseudomonadota; Alphaproteobacteria; Hyphomicrobiales; Methylobacteriaceae
Description: tRNA-Glu
Source: RNAcentral